This 160-nucleotide non-coding RNA is filed under the name Massilioclostridium coli. The record is from RNAcentral. Lineage: Bacteria; Bacillati; Bacillota; Clostridia; Eubacteriales; Clostridiaceae.
UGUGGUGUUAUAAAUCUGUAUACAGAGUAUAACGGGGAAUUCAGGUGAAAUUCCUGAACGGUGCCGCCGCUGUGAUAGGGUUAAAUAUAGCAUUUGCCACUGGUUUUCUGGGAAGGCGUUAUAUUUGUAUGAAACCUUAAGUCAGAAUAUCCGUCUGUAU